AUAGCAUAUCAAUAAGCGGAGGAAAAGAAACUAACAAGGAUUCCCCUAGUAACUGCGAGUGAAGCGGGAAAAGCUCAAAUUUAAAAUCUGGCGGUCUUUGGCUGUCCGAGUUGUAGUCUGGAGAAGUGUUUUCCGCGCUGGACCGUGUACAAGUCUCUUGGAAUAGAGCGUCAUAGAGGGUGAGAAUCCCGUCUUUGACAUGGACUACCAGUGCUUUGUGAUGCGCUCUCAAAGAGUCGAGUUGUUUGGGAAUGCAGCUCAAAAUGGGUGGUGAAUUCCAUCUAAAGCUAAAUAUUGGCGAGAGACCGAUAGCGAACAAGUACCGUGAGGGAAAGAUGAAAAGCACUUUGGAAAGAGAGUUAAACAGUACGUGAAAUUGCUGAAAGGGAAACGCUUGAAGUCAGUCGCGUCAUUCAGAACUCAGCCCGGCUUUUUUGCUUGGUGUAUUUUCUGCUUGACGGGCCAGCAUCAAUUUUGGCUGCUGGAAAAAGGCCGGGGGAAUGUGGCACCUUUUGGUGUGUUAUAGCCCUUGGUCAUAUACAGCAGCUGGGAUUGAGGACCGCAGCACGCCUUUAUGGUUGGGGUUCGCCCACAUUCGUGCUUAGGAUGCUGGCGUAAUGGCUUUAAACGACCCGUCUUGAAACACGGACCAAGGAGUCUAACAUGCCUGCGAGUAUUUGGGUGGCAAACCCGAGUGCGCAAUGAAAGUGAAAGUUGGGAUCUCUGUCGUGGAGAGCACCGACGCCCGGACCAGACCUUUUGCGACGGCUCCGCGGUUGAGCAUGUAUGUUGGGACCCGAAAGAUGGUGAACUAUGCCUGAAUAGGGUGAAGCCAGAGGAAACUCUGGUGGAGGCUCGUAGCGAUUCUGACGUGCAAAUCGAUCGUCAAAUUUGGGUAUAGGGGCGAAAGACUAAUCGAACCAUCUAGUAGCUGGUUCCUGCCGAGUCCCCCUUAAGGAU
Molecule: ribosomal RNA, 960 nt
Filed under: Cymatoderma sp.
Lineage: Eukaryota; Fungi; Basidiomycota; Agaricomycetes; Polyporales; Panaceae
Description: partial large subunit ribosomal RNA
Rfam family: Eukaryotic large subunit ribosomal RNA
Source: RNAcentral